ACAGGCUUAACACAUGCAAGUCGAGGGGCAGCAUGGUCUUAGCUUGCUAAGGCCGAUGGCGACCGGCGCACGGGUGAGUAACACGUAUCCAACCUGCCGUCUACUCUUGGACAGCCUUCUGAAAGGAAGAUUAAUACAAGAUGGCAUCAUGAGUCCGCAUGUUCACAUGAUUAAAGGUGUUCCGGUAGACGAUGGGGAUGCGUUCCAUUAGAUAGUAGGCGGGGUAACGGCCCACCUAGUCUUCCAUGGAUAGGGGUUCUGAGAGGAAGGUCCCCCACAUUGGAACUGAGACACAGUCCAAACUCCUACGGGAGGCAGCAGUGAGGAAUAUUGGUCAAUGGGCGAGAGCCUGAACCAGCCAAGUAGCGUGAAGGAUGACUGCCCUAUGGGUUGUAAACUUCUUUUAUAAAGGAAUAAAGUCGGGUAUGCAUACCCGUUUGCAUGUACUUUAUGAAUAAGGAUCGGCUAACUCCGUGCCAGCAGCCGCGGUAAUACGGAGGAUCCGAGCGUUAUCCGGAUUUAUUGGGUUUAAAGGGAGCGUAGAUGGAUGUUUAAGUCAGUUGUGAGAGUUUGCGGCUCAACCGUAAAAUUGCAGUUGAUACUGGAUAUCUUGAGUGCAGUUGAGGCAGGCGGAAUUCGUGGUGUAGCGGUGAAAUGCUUAGAUAUCACGAAGAACUCCGAUUGCGAAGGCAGCCUGCUAAGCUGCAACUGACAUUGAGGCUCGAAAGUGUGGGUAUCAAACAGGAUUAGAUACCCUGGUAGUCCACACGGUAAACGAUGAAUACUCGCUGUUUGCGAUAUACAGCAAGCGGCCAAGCGAAAGCGUUAAGUAUUCCACCUGGGGAGUACGCCGGCAACGGUGAAACUCAAA
Molecule: ribosomal RNA, 871 nt
Filed under: uncultured organism
Description: SSU rRNA
Rfam family: Bacterial small subunit ribosomal RNA
Source: RNAcentral